RNAcentral lists this ribosomal RNA (446 nucleotides) under uncultured bacterium. RNAcentral describes it as "partial 16S ribosomal RNA". It matches the Rfam family "Bacterial small subunit ribosomal RNA", at positions 338 to 795 of the family's 1533-position model. The record is from RNAcentral.
CCUACGGGUGGCAGCAGUCGAGAAUUAUUCACAAUGGGGGAAACCCUGAUGGUGCGACGCCGCGUGGGGGAAUGAAGGUCUUCGGAUUGUAAACCCCUGUCAUGUGGGAGCAAAUUAAAAAGAUAGUACCACAAGAGGAAGAGACGGCUAAAUCUGUGCCAGCAGCCGCGGUAAUACAGAGGUCUCAAGCGUUGUUCGGAAUCACUGGGCGUAACGCGUGCGUAGGCUGUUUCGUAAGGCGUGUGUGAAAGGUGCGGGCUCAACCCGCGGACGGCACAUGAUGCUGCGUGACUAGAGUGAGGGAGGGGGAAGCGGAAUGCGCGGUGUAGCAGUGAAAUGCGUAGAUAUCGAGAGGAACACUCGUGGCGAAGGCGGGUUCCUGGACAUUAACUGACGCUGAGGCACGAAGGCCAGGGGAGCGAAAGGGAUUAGAUACCCGGGUAGUC